Molecule: transfer RNA, 53 nt
Filed under: Paralongidorus litoralis
Lineage: Eukaryota; Metazoa; Nematoda; Enoplea; Dorylaimida; Longidoridae
Description: tRNA-Pro
Source: RNAcentral
UAAGUUUUAGUGUAAAAGCACUAAAAGUUUGGAACUUUUAAGGUUAAACUUAG